RNAcentral lists this ribosomal RNA (503 nucleotides) under uncultured bacterium. Its description in RNAcentral is "bacterial SSU rRNA". It matches the Rfam family "Bacterial small subunit ribosomal RNA", at positions 29 to 524 of the family's 1533-position model. The record is from RNAcentral.
AUUAAACGCUGGCGGCAUGCCUUACACAUGCAAGUCGAACGGCAGCACGGGGGCAACCCUGGUGGCGAGUGGCGGACGGGUGAGUAAUGCAUCGGAACGUGCCCUGAAGUGGGGGAUAACGCAGCGAAAGCUACGCUAAUACCGCAUAUUCUGUGAGCAGGAAAGCAGGGGAUCGCAAGACCUUGCGCUUUGGGAGCGGCCGAUGUCGGAUUAGCUAGUUGGUGGGGUAAAGGCCUACCAAGGCGACGAUCCGUAGCGGGUCUGAGAGGAUGAUCCGCCACACUGGGACUGAGACACGGCCCAGACUCCUACGGGAGGCAGCAGUGGGGAAUUUUGGACAAUGGGCGGAAGCCUGAUCCAGCCAUGCCGCGUGAGUGAAGAAGGCCUUCGGGUUGUAAAGGCUCUUUCGGCGGGGAAGAAUUAGCUUGGGUUAAUACCCUGAGUAGAUGACGGUACCCGAAGUAAGAAGCACCGGCUAACUACGUGCCAGCAGCCGCGGUAAU